Molecule: ribosomal RNA, 870 nt
Filed under: Pseudocellus sp. MCZ IZ 89391
Lineage: Eukaryota; Metazoa; Arthropoda; Arachnida; Ricinulei; Ricinoididae
Description: partial large subunit ribosomal RNA
Rfam family: Eukaryotic large subunit ribosomal RNA
Source: RNAcentral
GUGAGAAGUCCGGCUUGCUCGACUGAAGCCCGGACGUCCAGGAUGCGAGUGCCCAGUGGGCCACUUUUGGUAAGCAGAACUGGCGCUGUGGGAUGAACCAAACGCUGGGUUAAGGCGCCCGAUGCCAGACGCUCAUCAGAUCCCAUGAAAGGUGUUGGUUGCUAUAGACAGCAGGACGGUGGCCAUGGAAGUCGGAAUCCGCUAAGGAGUGUGUAACAACUCACCUGCCGAAGCAACUAGCCCUGAAAAUGGAUGGCGCUGUAGCGUCGAGCCCAUACCCGGCCGCCCCGGCUGGGCACGGAAGCUUAGGCCGGGGUGAGUAGGAGGUGUCGCAGCGGCGUGCGUUGAAGGUGCCGGGCGUGGGCCCGCCUGGAGCCGCCGCUGGUGCAGAUCUUGGUGGUAGUAGCAAAUACUCAAGUGAGAACCUUGAGGACUGAGGUGGAGAAGGGUUCCAUGUGAACAGCAGUUGAACAUGGGUCAGUCGGUCCUAAGGGAUAGGAGAAAUCCGUUCCGAAGCGGGACCUGCGUGCACCGUGAGGUCCCGUGGUCGACCGAAAGGGAAUCGGGUUAAUAUUCCCGAACUCGGACGCGGAGAUCGGCCCCUCGGGGUCAACUGCGGUAACGCAACCAAACUCGGAGACGUCGAUCGGGGUCCCGGGAAGAGUUGUCUUUUCUUUGUAAGGGAUCGGCUCCCUGGAAUCGGCUCGCCCGGAGAUAGGGAUGCUGUUCCCGUAAAGCACCGCGGCUCUUGCGGUGUCCGGAGCGCUCCGGUCGGCCCUUGAAAAUCCGAGGAGAGUGUGAUUUUCGUGCCGGACCGUACCCAUAUCCGCAGCAGGUCUCCAAGGUGAACAGCCUCUAGUCGAUGGAACA